AACAGCAUUUCCAUCAUGGCGGCAAAAUUUGUUUUUCCUUCGUAUACCAAAAUCGUCUUGACACCUCGACAGUUUUCGAAAAACGUGCCGUUUAUUACAAAGAAGUUAUUUCUUGAUUCAAGAAGAAACAGAUCUACAUCAAAUUUUUCGUAUCCUCUUUCAGAAACUUUAGAGAAAGUCAAGGAAUCACUGGCCGCGAUUGCCAAUGACAAACUCCCGAGGAAAACCACUAGGGUGUUUGUAGGAACAGGGCAAUACUACGAUCAUGAGACCAACGAAAGAAUAGUUGUAAUAUCUCUUGGAGGAAAUGGAAACUUAGAGCUACCGAUUGUCCUUCACGAUACCUCCCUUCCUCGCGGUGAAGUUGAUAAACUGGAGAAGGAACUGAACUCUUUGUCAGAGGUGGGUUCCGUUCAUUCUGGCGAGUUAGACAGCGUGCAAGACUCUCCCUGGAAAUUUGGAUUUACUUGUAAACCUUCGUUUUCUAUCUUCUCGACCUCUGGAUUUUGCUGUCAAUUUCAACAUUCAAGGGUAGAAGGAGAGUGCUUUAGAAUCUUUGAUGAACAUAUGCAUUUGCAUGAAGAUGUACCUCUUUCAGAGAUAGAGCAUAUCCAAGUUUCGCUGUCUCCAGAGCCAUGGGAGGAGAGGAAACUGCAACUCAAAAUGAAGAAUGGAGAUUUAAUUAGUGUUCUGGAAGACUGUGAAGAGAACAUCUCCAAUGAAAAUGGUUUGGCUUCCCUGAUGCUAACCACUGAAUGGAUGGUGAAGGCUGCUGGACAUAUGUGUGUAACAGCCAGACAGUUUGGAGCCACCACAGUUUCUCUCAAACUUCCUUCUGUACUUAGAGCUGAUGUCAAUCCAUGGGUGGCAAUGAGAAACAAGAUCUGGGCAAAGAAAAACAGUGAGAGUUGAGAACAGGAGGAAUAGGCUCCAUUGACAAACACAGGGCACAAACUGUAAUAUCCAAGACAAAAAAUACAUGAAGAUAUCACCAUCAAAGGAAGCUGUGUGAUCUAUACCAAAAGUUUUCUAACUGGAGAUGCUGAAUCCAUCGGCUCCACGAAAUCUUUCCAUACUGAACAAAGGCAUUAUAUUAUCUGAGAGACGGUACAUCAACAGAGGAUACAGGAUAGGCAGGAGGUUGUUUUGGUGUCUAGUAUGCUUGUCCCUUUCGUACUGGAGAAAUUGCUUUGAAAUUAGAUACUAGUAUCUGUCUCCCUGGUUUAGCGGUCAUAUUUCUGGGUCUCUGGAAAGAGAAGUGUGGCAAAGAGAAACCGUCUUCUUUUUAUCAAUGGACAUAAAGAAGAGUACAAAUUCAGAGAAAGUUAUAUCCCUCAAGUUCCUUUUAAAGGCGCAGUGUUACAUACAGACGUUCUUCCUUUAACGAUAUUUGUAACAAUGGAGUACAUUUCCGAUCCCUUAGAGUUCAUUUUGAGUUGACGGAACUCACGGUUUUUUUCUCGGACUUCAGCUGAUUCCAGUCAUUUAGCUCGUCAAAUAGAAGGCGUAUUUCGAGAUUUCCGCUCUGGUUAGUGAGCUAUCACCGGUUACCACAUAUCGAUGACUUGAUUGAUAUGGGAGAUUUCCGAUAGGGUUAGAGGGUAGCUCGUCGUCUAAGGACGUACACGAUUUUCAUCGUAAACUAUCGUAUGUUUUCUUGGCAAAAUUCUCUCUCAAUCCAUCGAAAAAGCUCACAAGAGAUCGUGUAAUAAAAGGACUUUCUGAAUAUACUACGUUCAGCCUCAAGGUCAAUUGAUACAUGGUGUAAGAUUGUUAGAUGACAAUCCAUAUUAAUUACUCGCAUUUUGAUUUCACAGCAGGAACCCAUUGUGCUUCUUGGAGGGUCAAUUGCGCAGUUUUAUGCUAGAAAAAACUUGUUUCUUCGGCAGACUUUGGGCGCCGAACUCUAAGUGUAGUUUGAGCUGCGACGUAUAUAGUUACAUGGGAAUUCUUUUGCGAUUAAAUGAAAUCGUUACAUAAUUCACAGUCGUUUCUGAGGUCCCCUUGGAGUUCAUAUUGCAAAGGGAUUUAGGCAAAGUUACAAAUCCUUUUGAUUAGUUUAGAUUUCUUAGGCUAAGAGAUACCAAUGAUUUGUUAAAAUGAGUGCCAGUCUUUUGAAACAAGGAUACCAUUUCUCAUACUGGCUAUUAAUAUGAAGUUCCUGCCGUCACAUUUCAAUGUUUUAAAUGGGUAAACAACUGUAAAGAGUUUGGGUGAAAAUUUAAUUCAGAGAAAUCUAAGUUUUGUGCCAAUUUAGGAUGCACAUCUGAACAGAUUUCCCAUAAAAAAUUGUGAACCAGAUGAUUUUUUAAAAAA
RNAcentral lists this unclassified non-coding RNA (2316 nucleotides) under Pocillopora damicornis (cauliflower coral). Its description in RNAcentral is "uncharacterized LOC113681346, transcript variant X2". Lineage: Eukaryota; Metazoa; Cnidaria; Anthozoa; Scleractinia; Pocilloporidae. The record is from RNAcentral.